Delphinapterus leucas (beluga whale) is the source of this 226-nucleotide non-coding RNA. The record is from RefSeq and is a predicted model, not a curated record. NCBI's taxonomy places the organism in Eukaryota, Metazoa, Chordata, Mammalia, Artiodactyla, Monodontidae.
AGGCAGCAGAGAUGAUUUAGCAUCGUCCAUGCACAGGAGCUCUGGUUGCCUCUGUAUAAUAGGAGGAUGGAGAUUAAUAGUGGACGCACUGGACCAGAAAUGAGGAUUCUUCCUCAGGUGCCAGCCUAGGAUGGCAUCUUGGUUGUAAGAGCCAGAACACCCAUCAUUAUUCUGUGGGGAUGCACCUUAUGAUUGCAUCUCUGGGUUAGAAGCACAGAGACCAAUG